UAGGGAAUAUUGGACAAUGGGCGAAAGCCUGAUCCAGCAACGCCGCGUGCGCGAUGAAGGCCUUCGGGUUGUAAAGCGCUUUUCGGGGGGAUGAGGAAGGACAGUACCCCCGGAAUAAGUCUCGGCUAACUACGUGCCAGCAGCCGCGGUAAAACGUAGGAGGCAAGCGUUAUCCGGAUUUACUGGGCGUAAAGCGCGUGCAGGCGGUUCGGUAAGUCGGACGUGAAAGCUCCUGGCUCAACUGGGAGAGGCCGUUCGAUACUACCGAACUAGAGGGCAGGAGAGGGAGGUGGAAUUCCGGGUGUAGCGGUGAAAUGCGUAGAUAUCCGGAGGAACACCAGUGGCGAAGGCGGCCUCCUAGUCUGCCCCUGACGCUCAGACGCGAAAGCUAGGGGGGCGAACGGGAUUAGAAACCCCGGUAGUCCUAGCUGUAAACGAUGCGGACUUGGUGUGGGUGGCUUAAACUCCAUCCGUGCCGUAGCUAACGCGAUAAGUCCGCCGCCUGGGGACUACGACCGCAAGGUUA
This 526-nucleotide ribosomal RNA is filed under the name uncultured bacterium. RNAcentral's name for it is "bacterial SSU rRNA". It matches the Rfam family "Bacterial small subunit ribosomal RNA", at positions 355 to 896 of the family's 1533-position model. The record is from RNAcentral.